Molecule: long non-coding RNA, 1052 nt
Organism: Diceros bicornis minor
Lineage: Eukaryota; Metazoa; Chordata; Mammalia; Perissodactyla; Rhinocerotidae
Exons: 5
Source: RefSeq, a predicted model, not a curated record
AAGGACAGGAUUCAGAGAGUUUCCGGGUUGGUGAACACAUGGAGAUAUUGGGAAAGUGGCACGCUUGGAGAGCAUGGAAGCUUCUCGUCCUUUCUCCAUACCUUGCUCUGUGCAUCUCUUCCGUCUGGCUCUUCCUGAAUUAUAUCCUUUCAUAUUAAACUGGUAAUCUAGAAACACUGCUCAACAGGAAGCCCUGCAGUCGAGUCACUUCUCAAGGUCAAGCUGACUAUAUAUUACUAAGAGUCUGCCCCCUCAGGAAUAGCCUCAUAAUUUAAUUGAUCACUGCAAGCUGGACAUUCAUCCAAGACAAGCAAAUGCUGCCGUGUCAUUGAAGAUUGGGUCACUGACUAGGAUAUGUAUCCUGAAAUAUGAAAAUGGAGCAAUGGAGUCAUGAGCCAAGGAAUGUGCACGGCCUCUAGAAGCUGGAAAGGCAACCACAGAAGAUGAAUACAGAACCCAUGCAUUUGAUUACUAGGCCUUGCUGUCUUGGAUACCUAUAAAAGGAGAGCUCGUGGAAUUACUGGGCCAUCCUAAGGAAAAACAGAAAAACUUGGCUGUUUGAGAUAUUCUAGGCAUUUAUACAAUACAAACAAUAACAUACUGGGUAAACAACAAGUGUUGGAGAGGAUGUGGAGAAACAGGAACCCUCAUACACAGCUGGUGGGAACGCAAACUGGUGCAGCCUCUAUGGAAAACGGUAUGGAGAUUCCUCAAAGAAUUAAAAAUAGAGAUGUCCUAUGACCCAGCCAUCCCACUACUGGGAAUCUAUCCAACGAACCUGAAAUCAACAAUCCAAAGAGGCUUAUGUACCCCUAUGUUCAUUGCAGCAUUAUUCACCAUAGCCAAGAAGUGGAAGCAACCUAAGUGUCCCUCGACUGAUGAUUGGAUCAAGAAAAUGUGGUAUAUAUACAAUGGAAUACUACUCAGCCAUAAAAAAAGACAAAAUCGUCCCAUUUGCAACAACAUGGAUGGGCCUGGAGCGUAUUAUGUUAAGUGAAGUAAGCCAGAAAGAGAAAGACAAACACUGUAUGAUCUCACUCAUAUGUGGAAUA